This 227-nucleotide long non-coding RNA is filed under the name Mytilus galloprovincialis (Mediterranean mussel). Lineage: Eukaryota; Metazoa; Mollusca; Bivalvia; Mytilida; Mytilidae. The record is from RNAcentral.
CUUUUUUUUCAAGUGGUCACUGAACCAUGAAAAUGAGGUCAAGGACAAUGGACAUGUGACUGACAGAAACUUCGUAACAUGAGGCAUCUAUAUACAGAAUAUGAAGCAUCCAGGUCUUCCACCUUCUAAAAUAUAUAGCUUUUAAGAAGUGAGCUAACACCGCCGCCGCCGCCGUAGCCGCCGCCGCCGCCGCCGGAUCACUAUCCCUAUGUCGAGCUUUCUGCAAC